CCUACGGGCGGCAGCAGUGAGGAAUAUUGGUCAAUGGGCGAGAUCCUGAACCAGCCAAGCCGCGUGAAGGAUGACGGCCCUACGGGUUGUAAACUUCUUUUGUAAGGGAGCAAUUGAGUCCACGUGUGGGCUUAGCGAGAGUACCUGAGGAAAAAGCAUCGCCUAACUCCGUGCCAGCAGCCGCGGUAAUACGGGGGAUGCGAGCGUUAUCCGGAUUUAUGGGGUUAAAAGGGUGCGUAGGCGGAAUAUCAAGUCAGCGGUAAAAAUUCGGGGCUCAACCCCGUCGUGCCGUUGAAACUGAUGUUCUUGAGUGGGCGAGAAGUAUGCGGAAUGCGUGGUGUAGCGGUGAAAUGCAUAGAUAUCACGCAGAACUCCGAUUGCGAAGGCAGCAUACCGGCGCCCAACUGACGCUGAAGCACGAAAGCGUGGGUAUCGAACAGGAUUAGAUACCCGGGUAGUC
RNAcentral lists this ribosomal RNA (460 nucleotides) under uncultured bacterium. RNAcentral's name for it is "partial 16S ribosomal RNA". It matches the Rfam family "Bacterial small subunit ribosomal RNA", at positions 338 to 795 of the family's 1533-position model. The record is from RNAcentral.